GGCUCAGGAUGAACGCUAGCUACAGGCUUAACACAUGCAAGUCGAGGGGCAGCACGGUGUAGCAAGUACACGGGUGGCGACCGGCGCACGGGUGCGUAACGCGUAUCCAACUUUCCCGUUACUCUCGGAUAGCCUUCCGAAAAGGGAGAUUAAUACGAGAUGGUGUUCAGUUUCCGCAUGUUUACUGAACUAAAGAUUCAUCGGUAACGGAUAGGGAUGCGUGACAUUAGCUAGAUGGCGGGGUAACGGCCCACCAUGGCGACGAUGUCUAGGGGUUCUGAGAGGAAGGUCCCCCACACUGGAACUGAGACACGGUCCAGACUCCUACGGGAGGCAGCAGUGAGGAAUAUUGGUCAAUGGUCUGACGACUGAACCAGCCAUGCCGCGUGAAGGUGACGGCCCUAUGGGUCUUAAACUUCUUUUGUAAGGGAGCAAUAAGGAUCACGCGUGGUCUGAUGAGAGUACCUUACGAAUAAGCAUCGGCUAACUCCGUG
This 494-nucleotide ribosomal RNA is filed under the name uncultured bacterium. Its description in RNAcentral is "bacterial SSU rRNA". It matches the Rfam family "Bacterial small subunit ribosomal RNA", at positions 21 to 507 of the family's 1533-position model. The record is from RNAcentral.